AUCCUGAAUUUACCCACAGCCAAACAAACAAGAUGGCGCUCACGUUACUUCUCAGAGUUCAAGGGUUCACAUCCCCUUCCUACAGAGCACCCUUCAUGCCCAAACAGGCCUCUCUAUGCCAGAGCACGAGGAGUCCCAGGAAGGAAGGAGAAAGUGGUCAAGUCCCGCCCUCUCUCCCUUUGCCACCUGGGCCGGAAAGCCACGCUGCUUGUUCCCCAGAGCAUCACAGAAAACCGUGAGUGUGAGCGCUUCACCUUCUACCUGAGGCUGCUGUGCUCUCUCCCCAGAGCAUCACAGAAAACCGUCAGCUCUGAGUAUACAUCAGAAAUUGCCUGCAGCUACCCUGCUAUGCCUAGACGCACCCUCCAGAAAGAAAUUCAAUGCAUUCAGAAGAUCAGCUCUCCUCUUACAUGAUGCAAAGAGGAUGUGAGGCCCAACGACUUUGGAAUUUUUACCCAUGGUCCACAAGCAAAUGAACUGAAGUGAUGAACCCAGUCUCCAUCACCACUCAGCUGCGAGAUCACCACCAGUCUCUAAAUGGGCUUUAACAGCUGACGGGAAAUCCAAACCAAGCCUCAGAAAUCAAGGAUUCCAGCUGGGGCCUGUUACAGAGGACAUUCUGUCCAUUUACCUGGAGAGUGAAUGUAGCGUCUCAACUCAGAGUGCUCACAUCAACCAGCCUCCCAAACUGGACCCAGGCGACUGUGGCCUGUCCCUCACUCUCUUGCUCCCUUAUCAAACGCUUGUUGAGCAUUUACUACGUGUAACCCCUGAACUCUGCAUGGUGUUUGAUAUUUAUACAUCAAAACAGUCUCUCCUAGUUGGAAAACCAGACGGGCAGUGAAUUCUUGGAUGGAGAACCAGUUAGGGAAAGAAACCUGAAAAUAUAAAUUAUCUGACAAGAUUUUCCUUGAAACCAAGCUUGAGGAAAUUUCAAAAAAUGUCUCGAGUAAGAUACAAAUGGAAAUUAAGUAUAGUAUCCAUUGUCACUAACUCAUGGUGUAUAGAAUAUCAGUGAUAUUCUCUUAAAAGCACAAAAUAUACCUUUUUGUGUUGGGCAAAUCUCUCAUAAGCAAAUUUCAAAGAGAACAUUUCUGGUGAAAUAGAUGAUGCUAAAAGUAUUUAUGUGAAAGAUGCCUCAGCUUGAUAACCUGUGAAGAAUGCCCAUUGUUCUUAAUCACAGUCUACUGAUAAGUAUUCAUUAAUUAUAAUAAUAUUUUGUGGGUCCAUGGAUCCUUUCAUCCCUAGUUUUCAAAGUGCUUUACAACUGGUCAUUAAUUCCUCCAACAUCCUAGGGACAAAUUUAAGGGUAACUUUCAGCAAAACUUGCACUGAUGCUCAGAAUGCCUUCCUCAGAAGUUUUAGACCCAGAGCGUGGUUUUGUUGCCUGAAUUCUUGGAAUGAGGAACAGCCG
This 1414-nucleotide long non-coding RNA is filed under the name Equus caballus (horse). RNAcentral's name for it is "lncRNA (ENSECAG00000046186.1)". Lineage: Eukaryota; Metazoa; Chordata; Mammalia; Perissodactyla; Equidae. The record is from RNAcentral.